GCUCAGAUGGUCGAGCUGGUUAAGACGUGAGAUUUAAGUAAAGGCUUUUUGCCUGAAGACUCCUCAUUGCGAAAGCAAUCGUGGGUUCGAACCCCACUCUGAGCA
Molecule: transfer RNA, 105 nt
Filed under: Rhodotorula toruloides
Lineage: Eukaryota; Fungi; Basidiomycota; Microbotryomycetes; Sporidiobolales; Sporidiobolaceae
Also listed under: 1 other name
Description: Rhodosporidium toruloides tRNA
Rfam family: tRNA
About the family: Transfer RNA (tRNA) molecules are approximately 80 nucleotides in length.
Source: Rfam by way of RNAcentral